This 71-nucleotide transfer RNA is filed under the name Capra hircus (goat). It matches the Rfam family "tRNA". Rfam says of the family: Transfer RNA (tRNA) molecules are approximately 80 nucleotides in length. The record is from Rfam by way of RNAcentral. RNAcentral also lists the same sequence under 1 other name. Lineage: Eukaryota; Metazoa; Chordata; Mammalia; Artiodactyla; Bovidae.
UUCCAGGUGGCUCAGUGAUAAAGAAUCUGCCUGCAAUGCAGGAGACUCAGGUUCUAUCCCUGGGUUGGGAA